RNAcentral lists this ribosomal RNA (506 nucleotides) under uncultured bacterium. RNAcentral describes it as "partial 16S ribosomal RNA". It matches the Rfam family "Bacterial small subunit ribosomal RNA", at positions 29 to 523 of the family's 1533-position model. The record is from RNAcentral.
AGUGAACGCUGGCGGUAGGCCUAACACAUGCAAGUCGAACGGCAGCACAGGAGAGCUUGCUCUCUGGGUGGCGAGUGGCGGACGGGUGAGGAAUACAUCGGAAUCUACUCUGUCGUGGGGGAUAACGUAGGGAAACUUACGCUAAUACCGCAUACGACCUACGGGUGAAAGCAGGGGACCUUCGGGCCUUGCGCGAUUGAAUGAGCCGAUGUCGGAUUAGCUAGUUGGCGGGGUAAAGGCCCACCAAGGCGACGAUCAGUAGCUGGUCUGGGAGGAUGAUCAGCCUCACUGGAACGGAGACACGGUCCAGACUCCUACGGGAGGCAGCAGUGGGGAAUAUUGGACAAUGGGCGCAAGCCUGAUCCAGCCAUACCGCGUGGGUGAAGAAGGCCUUCGGGUUGUAAAGCCCUUUUGUUGGGAAAGAAAUCCAGCUGGCUAAUACCCGGUUGGGAUGACGGUACCCAAAGAAUAAGCACCGGCUAACUUCGUGCCAGCCGCCGCCGUAA